RNAcentral lists this ribosomal RNA (1046 nucleotides) under uncultured eukaryote. RNAcentral's name for it is "SSU rRNA". It matches the Rfam family "Eukaryotic small subunit ribosomal RNA", at positions 583 to 1660 of the family's 1831-position model. The record is from RNAcentral.
UUCCAGCUCCAAUAGCGUAUAUUUAAGUUGUUGCAGUUAAAAAGCUCGUAGUUGGAUUUCGGGCGGGUUUCGUCGGUCCGCCUCUGGUGUGCACUGCCGAAGCUCGCCUUUCUGUCGAGGACGGGCUCCUGGGCUUCAUUGCUCGGGACUCGGGCUCGACGAGGUUACUUUGAGUAAAUUAGAGUGUUCAAAGCAGGCGAUCGCCCUGAAUACAUUAGCAUAGAAUAGCAUGAUAGGACUCUGGCCUAUCUUGCUGGUCUGUAGGACCGGAGUAAUGAUUAAGAGGGACAGUCGGGGGCAUUCGUAUUUCAUUGUCAGAGGUGAAAUUCUUGGAUUUAUGAAAGACGAACUUCUGCGAAAGCAUUUGCCAAGGAUGUUUUCAUUGAUCAAGAACGAAAGUUGGGGGCUCGAAGACGAUUAGAUACCGUCGUAGUCUCAACCAUAAACGAUGCCGACCAGGGAUUGGCGGGUGUUCUUUUAAUGACCCCGCCAGCACCUUGAGAGAAAUCAGAGUCUUUGGGUUCCGGGGGGAGUAUGGUCGCAAGGCUGAAACUUAAAGGAAUUGACGGAAGGGCACCACCAGGCGUGGAGCCUGCGGCUUAAUUUGACUCAACACGGGAAAACUUACCAGGUCCAGACACGAGGAUGAUUAACAGAUUGAGAGCCCUUUUUUGAUUUUGUGGGUGGUGGUGCAUGGCCGUUCUUAGUUGGUGGGUUGCCUUGUCAGGUUGAUUCCGGUAACGAACGAGACCUCAGCCUGCUAAAUAGUCACGUUUCCUUUCUGGAUACGCUUGACUUCUUAGAGGGACUAUUGUCGUUUAGGCAAUGGAAGUGUGAGGCAAUAACAGGUCUGUGAUGCCCUUAGAUGCUCUGGGCCGCACGCGCGCUACACUGAUGCAUUCAACGAGCCUAUCCUUGGCCGAGAGGCCUGGGUAAUCUUUGAAACUGCAUCGUGAUGGGGAUAGAUUAUUGCAAUUAUUAGUCUUCAACGAGGAAUGCCUAGUAAGCGCGAGUCAUCAGCUCGCGUUGAUUACGUCCCUGCCCUU